RNAcentral lists this ribosomal RNA (37 nucleotides) under Orsonwelles malus. RNAcentral describes it as "partial 5.8S ribosomal RNA". The record is from RNAcentral. RNAcentral also lists the same sequence under 1 other name. Lineage: Eukaryota; Metazoa; Arthropoda; Arachnida; Araneae; Linyphiidae.
UUAAAUUCAGCGGGUCCUCUCGUCUGAUCUGAGGUCG